Molecule: ribosomal RNA, 509 nt
Filed under: Wickerhamiella pararugosa
Lineage: Eukaryota; Fungi; Ascomycota; Dipodascomycetes; Dipodascales; Trichomonascaceae
Description: LSU rRNA
Rfam family: Eukaryotic large subunit ribosomal RNA
Source: RNAcentral
AAACCAACAGGGAUUCCCUUAGUAACGGCGAGUGAACCGGGAAAAGCUCAAAUUUGAAAUCUGCCAACAGGCCGAGUUGUAAUUUGUAGAUGGCUACACUGCAUAAUAGUAGAUGCUCAAGUUCUUUGGAAAAAGACAUCAUGGAGGGUGACAAUCCCGUGAGGCAUGUUACUAGGAGCAUAUAGUGGGCUUUCUAAGAGUCGAGUUGUUUGGGAAUGCAGCUCAAAGUGCGUGGUGAAUACCAUGUAAAGCUAAAUAUGGACGAGAGACCGAUAGCGAACAAGUACUGUGAAGGAAAGAUGAAAAGCACUCCGAAAGGAGAGUGAAAUAGUACGUGAAAUUGUUAAAGUGGAAGGGCUUGAGAUCAGAAUUGGUAGUUUGGGUUCCACGUCCUCUUGGGGGCGUGUACUCCCUUUCCACCGGGCCAGCGGGAGUUUCGUCUCUUGGGUAAAAGCAGUGGAAUGUAGCAGCUUGUCUGUAUUAUAGCCUCUGUUCAUACAAGACGUCGA